RNAcentral lists this ribosomal RNA (496 nucleotides) under uncultured bacterium. Its description in RNAcentral is "partial 16S ribosomal RNA". It matches the Rfam family "Bacterial small subunit ribosomal RNA", at positions 29 to 507 of the family's 1533-position model. The record is from RNAcentral.
AUGAACGCUGGCGGCGUGCCUCAUCCCUGCAAGUCGAGCGCACAGACGAGGAGCUUGCUCCUCUGACGUUAGCGGCGGACGGGUGAGUAACACGUGGAUAACCUACCUAUAAGACUGGGAUAACUUCGGGAAACCGGAGCUAAUACCGGAUAACAUGUUGAACCGCAUGGUUCAACAGUGAAAGACGGUUUUGCUGUCACUUAUAGAUGGAUCCGCGUCGCAUUAGCUAGUUGGUAAGGUAACGGCUUACCAAGGCAACGAUGCGUAGCCGACCUGAGAGGGUGAUCGGCCACACUGGAACUGAGACACGGUCCAGACUCCUACGGGAGGCAGCAGUAGGGAAUCUUCCGCAAUGGGCGAAAGCCUGACGGAGCAACGCCGCGUGAGUGAAGAAGGUCUUCGGAUCGUAAAACUCUGUUAUUAGGGAAGAACAAAUGUGUAAGUAACUAUGCACGUCUUGACGGUACCUAAUCAGAAAGCCACGGCUAACUACGUG